Molecule: unclassified non-coding RNA, 218 nt
Filed under: soil metagenome
Description: partial contains 5.8S ribosomal RNA, internal transcribed spacer 2, and large subunit ribosomal RNA
Source: RNAcentral
AACGGUCUAUACCUGCGGUACCUGCGGAAGGAUCAUUACAGAGAACUUGCCUCCGGGCAGAUCUCCAACCCGUGUCUAUCGUGCCCUGUUGCUUUGGCAGGCCCGCCUUCGAGGCCGCCGGCUCCGGCUGGCCAGCGCCUGCCAGAGGGACCACAACUCAUAAGUUAGUGUUGUCUGAGUACCAUUCAAAUAGCAAAAACUUUCAACAAUGGAUCUCU